This 360-nucleotide ribosomal RNA is filed under the name Enterococcus hirae. RNAcentral describes it as "bacterial SSU rRNA". It matches the Rfam family "Bacterial small subunit ribosomal RNA", at positions 1174 to 1533 of the family's 1533-position model. The record is from RNAcentral. Lineage: Bacteria; Bacillati; Bacillota; Bacilli; Lactobacillales; Enterococcaceae.
UGGGGAUGACGUCAAAUCAUCAUGCCCCUUAUGACCUGGGCUACACACGUGCUACAAUGGGAAGUACAACGAGUCGCAAAGUCGCGAGGCUAAGCUAAUCUCUUAAAGCUUCUCUCAGUUCGGAUUGUAGGCUGCAACUCGCCUACAUGAAGCCGGAAUCGCUAGUAAUCGCGGAUCAGCACGCCGCGGUGAAUACGUUCCCGGGCCUUGUACACACCGCCCGUCACACCACGAGAGUUUGUAACACCCGAAGUCGGUGAGGUAACCUUUUGGAGCCAGCCGCCUAAGGUGGGAUAGAUGAUUGGGGUGAAGUCGUAACAAGGUAGCCGUAUCGGAAGGUGCGGCUGGAUCACCUCCUUU